AGAAAUUUAGGUUACACUAAACCAAGGACCUUCAAAGCCCUAAACAGGGAAACCACCCCUAAUUUCUG
This 68-nucleotide transfer RNA is filed under the name Hemidactylus gracilis. RNAcentral's name for it is "tRNA-Trp". Lineage: Eukaryota; Metazoa; Chordata; Lepidosauria; Squamata; Gekkonidae. The record is from RNAcentral.